Long non-coding RNA from Strongylocentrotus purpuratus (purple sea urchin), 3996 nucleotides. RefSeq lists it as uncharacterized. The transcript has 2 exons. The record is from RefSeq and is a predicted model, not a curated record. Lineage: Eukaryota; Metazoa; Echinodermata; Echinoidea; Camarodonta; Strongylocentrotidae.
UGUUGUCCAAUCAUCCAUACUCUAUAUUUUUUUUCUCUCUCUCUCUCUUUCUCUCUCUCUCUCUCUCUCUCUCUCUCUCUCCUGUUUCUUUUGCUCUCCCUUUUAUUCUAUGACUCCUCAUGUAUUCUAGCUUCAAUUUGUUAUCUUGUACUACAGUCAAACCUGUCUACCUGUUCACUCAAGGCAAGGCAAACGGUGGCCUUUCUAAACAGGUUCUGCAACACACAUAUUUUUUUUCUUGAAGGAGACAAAAUGCAUGGACACUGUAGAAGGGUGGCCUUUAUAGAGAGGUGGCCACUAAGACAGGUUUGACUGUAUAUUUAUUAAAUUAUGAGUAUGAGAAUGGAAAAACAGGGCCUUCUGCAUCAAUCUUCAGAUUUAAACCCCUCAAACAAAAGUUUGGAAACUCAAGUAUUAUCGAUUAUAAUUCUCUUGACUUGGCAUAAUCAACACUAUGUUUAGUAUCAUUAGAAAAUGGGUUUAUUAUUCCUUUUCAGUCAUGGAAUGUGCAGUAGAUCAAAAUGAGGAGUAAGGUCAAUAGUGAAAAUUUGCAAAUGCACAGCUCUUGUUCGACUGUGCAUUCAAAUUGCCCUAGUGUCUGGGCCGUUUCAACAGUUGUUAGCCUCAGCAUGAUGCUUCCCAAAGUUGAUGACCAAACAGUAGCGAAUCUUGCCUGACAUAUCACCACAUUCCAUGAAUUGCAAUGUCAGAUUCUUAAAAGUUUGGCAUUCAUGGAUGACCAGUUGGGAAUAAAAGCCCCACUGUCAUUUACAAAAUCACACUCUUUUAUGUCAAACAAAGGAGAGAGUGCUCUGCAUAUUACAAUACCAUUGCUUACCAAAUCAUUUUGCAACUUUUCACAAUUCGACCCUGCCCCUUAUUCUGAUGUUCUAAUCACUUCCUGGCCACAAAAUCAUAACAAAUACAGAAUUAUUUUAAUGAUCAUAAUCAUCCCUAUGAUAAUGCCAUGAGCUAUAAUUGAUCCAACUUAAGUUUCCGAACUUGGUUUGAUGGGUUUAGAUAGUUACAUCUUCAAUAAACCUAUUUUAUUAUAAAAUUUAUUUAUUUAUGCUUCACAUUGUUUUGUACACAUAACUUGAUAUGAUGUUGUUUUAUAUUGAAUAAGCAUACAUGUGUGUGAGUUUCAGUAAAGUUAAAAUUUGCAUUAUUAUUUAAUCCUCACUUAGCUAGAGAACAGUACAGGACAAUCUAGAGUAUUAUCUUCUAUUUCCGAAUAUGUAUUUAUAUACAAAGUACAACAUAGUUUUGUAUUUUUAUACAAAGAGUUUAUCUAGUAAUAGUAUAGGGCUGAUUUAUGUAGAAGCGGUAGCUUGGAUUCACAGUGUCCUCUUCUCGUAGGUUUUUACCUUUGUGUGAAGGCUGAAGGAAAAAUGUGAAUUCUUUCAACGAGUCUACUUAUGAGUGCGAGGAUGCCCGGCCAAGUACCGAUUUAUACCUUUUGCUGAUUUGGAGUCGUACAGGGUCCCGUCUCAUAAAGAAUUGUGGUUAAUUCAAAUUGACUGCAACUUUAAUUGCAACUCUUUAUAUGAGAGAUAUCAACUUCAACACUGUAUAUAAGAAAGAGAGUAGAUUGUAUCUUUUCGAUUGAUUGGAGGAUUUGCAGUGGAUUGAGUUGCAUCACAAGUUUUAUGACAUUCCCCUCAUAUCAUGAACACUGAAAUGUGAUUUCAAUUAAGUUUCAGGUCUUGUACACUUAACAAAUGUGUAGAAAGUAAACAAUAAAGGGGCUGUUUUCUUUCUAUUUGUUGCAAAAUUGAAUAAUAUUGUUUAUUUUGAUCCCUUUUAUUAGUUAUGAUCUGGGACAGAUUGGAGGUGUGUUUGGGUUUACAUUUUUAAGGGUGCUAUGGGAAUUUUGAGGGCAAAAAGAUGAUACAAACAUAUUAGGAAAGGGGAAGACCACCCUUGCAAUAAAAGCAAAUAUGUGAAAUGGGUCGUUGAAAGUUCUUGGAAAAAUUAGGUUAAAAGUUAGAUAUGUCUGAGUUAAAAUGUUAUGUGUUAAAAUGUAAUGUUGUAUUUGUAUCUCUCCUCAUGCUUUGGUAAUUUUUUUCCCAGUCCCUUUUGUUUUCUUGCCAGGAAUAUAUAACGUGUCAUCUCUCAAAUUGCCAUUUUAAAAUCAAUCCAUCCAUCCCUCCUGUUGGUGCAUGUGUCUUUUGCCAAAAGUAAUCUGGAUUUCUAUUAACUUCUAAGACUAAAAUCUCCCUCAGAUAUGAUGAGGUAGACCGCAGCUUUUUUUUGUUGUCUUUUCAAUGAUGCGAGCAUAACAUUUUUUGUAUUAUACAUGUAUAAAUCAAAGCUAUUAGUAAGUGAAUAUGCAUAGGACUGAAAUGUCCUUUUGUAUGUAAUGUAAUAAUGUAAUAAUACGGCAUUAUCUGUUCCAUAUGGAACUCUUUGUUUGCUACGGGUCAAAAUGGAGGACGGACACAGUAUUACCGGUGCAAGUAGUCUAUGUAUGUUUGGAUGGAUGUUACAAGAUGGUACAUUGUCCAUGUGAAGAAAAUAAGUCAACUACCGUAAAUCUACCGUGUAUAAGACGCACCUGUGUAUAAGACCAAAAACGAACAAAAACUCUCUUCCCUUCCAGUAUGUAAUUUAUGCCGAGACACAUGCAGAGACGGUCAAACACCACUAAAAAGUAGCAUUUAUGAGGACUCAAAAUAUCCUGAACCUGCCUUAGUUAAGACGCACACCCAACUUUCGAUAUUUUUUUUCCGGCGAAAAAAAGUGCGGCUUAUACACGGAGACUUACCGUUUGCUGUCAAGUGUUUUUUUUUCCAUUAGUUGGAAUAGAGUUUAUCUCGAGUGGUGUUAAGAAAGCAAAAGCCACUAAAAAUUUGAAUUCAUUUUUUGUUGCAAUGAUUAAAGCAUUCAAGCAGCGCAUGAAAGAUUUAAAGGAAAUUAUCUUUAAAUUAACAACAUAUUAAGUAAUGUAAAACCAACCCUGCAAUUUGCAUGUAGGGUUAGCCGAGUUUGUUUUAUUUUAUCAUUAUCAUUGACAGGUCAAGUGAGAGUGAUACUUCAAAAUACAUAUGAGAAUGUUCUCAUUGUUUAUUGCUGUUCUUUUGUAGAAAGCCUAUAGCUUGUUAUAUGCCAAAGAUAUUCUACUUUGAUAAUAUUAUGCAAGUGCACUUUGCAGUUUAAGAGCAUAUUUGUGUUUGCUUGCUAUUGAUAUGUGUACAGAUUUGGGAGCUAUUCGUUACAAAAUUGUAUGCUUAUAUUUAGAGAGAUAUAUAUUCCUGCCUUCGAAUAGAAGUUUGAGUUCUAGGAAAGGUGAAAAAACAAUUUACAAGUUUCUCAUAAUCUCCUCGUGAAUUUGUACGAAAUUGUUAUCACCUGAAAAGGAUUGUUCUUCAAACGCCCUCAUAUUCCAAAUAUGACAAGAAAUAGAUUUGGACCAAACUGUAUAUGCCACAUGUGUAGUUCCAAGUGGGUCCCAUGUACCCAUUUCUGUGUGCCUCCAAACCGUUUUUUUUUCUUUCUUAUUGCUUGACCAGAAUUAAACAUUAUAUAUAUGGGCCGGCUCAAAUGGUGAAACUUAAAUGUAUCUAGAAUAUUUCAUAUUGUUUUGCAAAUUCAUGAUUUUGAGAAGCCUAUUAGAACAAAUGUACCAGAACAUAUUUUUAUGAGAGAAGUGCUUUUUUAUGUAAAUGAUUUGCAUACAUAUGCACAAAAAUCAUUAUAUUUGGUGGUAUUCACUUGAAUGUACACAUUAUAUAGUUAUAUAUAUAUUUAUAUACACAAUUUGUUGUGUUUGUGAUAAGAUUAUGCUUUGAAAUGUGUUACCUCUAGUAAAUUGCAUUUUGAAUGGAGCAUGUAGUUUUGUAUUAUUUCAAUUGAAGACAAACUUAUAUGUAUAUCUUGAAUUUGAUGAUCAUAUUUUUCUGUCAAUGGAGUUGCUUAUAAAAUCACAUUUUACAUUAAAAUGAGUAAUUUUUCACGUUUCAUAUCAAAUGAACAAAUUAAAAUUCCAAACAUUUA